This is a long non-coding RNA of Pseudopipra pipra, 658 nucleotides long. RefSeq lists it as uncharacterized. Lineage: Eukaryota; Metazoa; Chordata; Aves; Passeriformes; Pipridae. The transcript is spliced from 2 exons. The record is from RefSeq and is a predicted model, not a curated record.
UAUUUACUAAGAGCUCAUCAAAAACUCUUUCUGUAGAGCAAAUUCAGCCCCUUCAGAGCUAAAAGGACGAGAAUUUGGGUGCUUCCCCGAGGAAAGGCAGUUCCCAGGCAGCUUUCUGCUGGAUACCUGCUUUGCAGACUGAAGGUUUUCCAAGUUGCACUGAAGCCACACAGGAUUUGAUUACGUGCUUCAAGAUAACAGCAAUAACAACCAGAUCACGGGAGCAGAAUCAAUGACCCAGCAGUGGUAAUCCGUGUUUACCACCUCACCUGCCUCCUGCCAGCUCUCUGUGCUUUCGUCAUCGUCAUCUGUUUGUCAUCAAACAGAAUGUUUUGGGUUGGAGGGGACCUUAAAGCUCAUCCAGUCCCACCCCUUCCAUGGGCAGGGACACCUUCCACUAGCCCAGGUUGCUCCAACCUGGCUUUGGACACUUCCAGGGGUGGGACAGCCACAGCUUCUCUGGGCAACCCGUGCCAGUGCCCCCCCAACCUCCCAGGGAAUAAUUUCUUCUAAAUGUCCAAUCCAACCCUGUCCUCUCUCAGUUUGAAGCCAUUCCCCCUUGUCCUGUCACUACGUGCCCUUGUCAAGAGACCCUUUCAGUUUUUACAUUUGCUGAUCAACUUCAAACCAGCAUUAAAGGCGACACAGAAUACUGCUA